AAACAAUCAAAUUGUUGAAUAUUUUGAAAAAAAAUUAUUUUUACUGUCAGUUUGGUUUUAGAUUUAAGAAAGGUACUAGUCUAGCCAUUUCUGAAUAUUUUAAGAGCUGUAUUUAUAGUCUGGACAGCAAGAAUAAAGUAAUUGGUGCCUUUUAUGACAUGUCAAAAGCAUUUGACACAAUCUCACAUGACAAACUGCUAUAUAAACUUAAAUUUUAUGGUUUUGCUAGUUUGGCAGUUAAGUUUGUAGGGUCUUACUUGUCUGAAAGGCUACAAGCAGUUUAUUAUGAAGGCCACUUUUCACAAUACUUAAAUGUAAGAACUGGUAUCCCACAGGGCUCAAUCCUGGGCCCAGUAUUUUUUAUUACUUACAUAAAUCAUUACCAGGUACUAUUGCUACUAAUCAUGCGAGCUCUUAUAUGUUUGCUGUUGACCUGGCUGUACAAGUUAAAUGUAAUGAUAUUUUAUUUGCUAAAGACUAUGUUAAAUUCUUAGGAGUUAUUCUUCAGACUAACAUCAAAUGGGAUAGGCACGUUGAAAUGUUAUGCAAUAAAAUGUCUAAGGGUAUUUUUAUAUUAAUUAGGCUAAGAUAUAUUGUAACUAUAAACAUCCUCAUUACUGUCUACUAUGCCUACCUUCAUAGUUUCUUAUCUUAUGGAAUUAUUGUAUGGGACAAUGAUUGUAACACAAAAAAAAAAUGAUUUAUUUUACAAAAACGUGCUAUUAAGAUUAUAGCUAAUGUAAACAUAAGGACUCACUGUAAACCUUUAUUUUAAAAGUAUGGUAUUCUUCCAGUACCUGCUCUUUAUAUUUUAGAUUGCCUAUUGUAUACAAAACAAAAUUUACAUGCCAUACCUACAAAUAGAUCUGUACAUAACCAUAUGACUAGAAACUCAAAUUCUCUUAGAAUAUCUCAAUGUAGUCUUAAAACCACUUUAAAUUGUUUUGUUGAAACAGGCAUUAAACUCUACAACUCUCUUCCUUCUCAUCUUAAAUCUCUUGAAAUUAAUUCUUUCAAGAAAAGUGUAAAAAAGUUAUUGAUUCAUAUAAUACCAUAUGAUAUAUUAUGCUGGAAUGUGAUAGACACUUGUUACUAGGCCUAGGCAGUGUAUAUCAUAGAUGAUAGUUCAUGCUUAAUUUGUUUCUGACACUGUUAUACAUUGUAAAGAUGUUCUGGCAAUAAAGAAUUUGAAUUUGAAUUUUAGGUACGCGACAUAGUUGUCUUAUGGAAAUCGAUAUAUCAUAUGGAAUUACAAGAACAAGUGUCUCUUUGCCUCUUUACUUGCAUUUGUGAAGAUGUUCCCUGAGGAAGAGGUGGUGCUUCUUCUCAUGUUUAGUAGAAAACAGUGUAAAAGAUAAAGGAAAUUUCCGUGGUCAAGAAUUUGAGCAUGGAACCUCUGGUAGAGAGGUUAGUGGAAGCCAACUCGAAGGAGACAAAACGGAUUAGAAAAAUGAUCUUCAAAACAUUUCCAACGGUUCAGAUAAGAAAGGUGGACAGGGUAGAGAACAGCUUUCUGAAAGCUAUGUACUUGUUAAAGAAGGACGAGUACUUGUCCCGCUAUGAAACAGUGGAGGAAAAGGAACUCUUUCAUGUCACUGGUGUUGACAAUGUAAAAUCCAUCACCAAUAACAAUUUUGACUGGCGGAGAGUAUCAAGGGGAUUGUUUGGAAAAGGGACUAGCUUUUCAGGUGAUGCAGAAUAUGCUAAUUGCCAUGCCAACCAUAAUAUUGGAAGUUGUCGAGCAAUUAUUAUUACUAAGGUGUUGGUGUCAAAACAAAUCGGAGGACGCAAGAAUCUUAAAAUUCCUCAGAACAACUAUGAUACUACAACUGGCAAUGGCAAAGUCUAUGUCAAGUUUUGUGACAAUGAAACUCUUCCUACAUACGUGGCAUACUACAAAAUUGGAGGAUUUACAGCUAAAUAUAAAAACACUCAUGCAGUAUUUGACUAUAAUGUUGACGAUGAUUAUUAUAAUGGCUUUGAUUACGAUGAUUAUUACUAUUAAGAUGCUAAUUUUUAUGAUUAUGCCAAAAAUAUUCUACACUUCAUGGAUGUGGUCAUAUAAUUUUUAUCAUUAAGGCAGCAUUAAUGUAAGAAUAAUCUAAACACAUGUGGUUUUGAAUUUUGAGCUUGCUUUUUAUUACAUGAAUAAAGUAUAAA
RNA transcript from Homalodisca vitripennis (glassy-winged sharpshooter), 2160 nucleotides. It is a transcript of the gene named protein mono-ADP-ribosyltransferase PARP11-like, with no coding region annotated. The record is from RefSeq and is a predicted model, not a curated record. The transcript is spliced from 5 exons. NCBI's taxonomy places the organism in Eukaryota, Metazoa, Arthropoda, Insecta, Hemiptera, Cicadellidae.